AAUUUAGGGCUUAAUUAAUUUUUUUUCUUUGUUAUUUUCCCCUCCUUUAGAUGUUGCCACCAAUUUCUACUUAAAAACAGAAUAAAACUGAGUCAUUCUACACUAUUACUCAUUCACAUCUUCAACCUUGCAGCCUCCUCGCAACCUACCAACACCUUCGUCACCAUCAGGCACCUCGAAACCAUAAUUUCUUUAUAUUUUUUCGAUUUAAAGGUUCAUUGAAGUGGGUUGGCUAAAGUGUUCUACUUCAAUAAAUUUUCAAUAAUCAAAGAUGCAAAACAACAAAGUUAAUGAGCUUGGUUGUGUUUUUAUGCUUUCCAAAGACCAAAAGAAGCACAUAUGUAGUCGUGAAAGUUUCGCCAAUAUUGCUGCCAAUACUUUUGUCGCAUCAACCAAUACAAAGUGCAUUGUCGAGCAUGUUAGUUAUUGUCAUAAGAUUUUAAACAUUUUACAUUAUUUUAUUUCAAAUUCUAGGUUUAGUUUUACAUAAAAUAACAAUGUUGUGCAUCGGAUGCAUUAUGAUGUUGUGAUAAGAUUUCAUAUGGUAGGUUAUGUGAGAAAAACACAAAGAUGGAUAGGUACUUGCACUUCUUAAUCAUGGGAUCCCUUUCCAAAGAUAAAUGAAAUCCCUGUAUAGCAGUAACUUAGCAUAGAUAUUCUCACAUGG
Long non-coding RNA from Lactuca sativa (garden lettuce), 667 nucleotides. RefSeq lists it as uncharacterized. The record is from RefSeq and is a predicted model, not a curated record. Lineage: Eukaryota; Viridiplantae; Streptophyta; Magnoliopsida; Asterales; Asteraceae.